Vidua chalybeata is the source of this 446-nucleotide long non-coding RNA. RefSeq lists it as uncharacterized. The record is from RefSeq and is a predicted model, not a curated record. Lineage: Eukaryota; Metazoa; Chordata; Aves; Passeriformes; Viduidae. The transcript has 5 exons.
GAACAUAUGGGUUUGCCUCUAAGCAUGAAAGAGAACCAUGUUUAUGAACCAGGAUCACGUGCUGGAACAGUGAGGGUGAUAGAAGAGCCUCAGGCCUUCAGAGAGAUGGAGUCCCAGUGAGCUGGAGAAAGGAGAAGAAUCUAUUUCAGAGACAAGGAAAGAAGGCAGGCUGAUUGGAGAGAGCUGCAUCUAGAAGAAUAAUAUAUGGUUAUGAAGUAAAGCUGUGGUACAGGGUUCUGCCAACAAGAAGGACAGACUUUCUUCCUCUGGGAGCCACCUAUACCUGAUAGGCAGUUUAGCUCAGCAGAGAUUCUGAAGAACAGAAACUGAAUGAUUUCCAGAUCUUCUGUUUAGAACCUAAAGGCAAAUUCAUCUAUUCUUCCCCAAUUUUCUCUGCAAAAAGCGUGGUUUUUCCUCCAGAGAAAAGAAUAAAACUGCAUUUAUAU